GUAGAACUCUCUCUCUCUCUCCUCUAUUUCUCUCUGUAUGUGGUCCUAUUUGUCUCCUAUUCUAUUCUUCUUUCAAUAGUAAAAAUGGAAAAUAUUGUGACUUUACUUCAUCUGCUACCUAUCAUCCCUUCCAUUUUAAUACCACACGCAGUCACACAGUUAAUGUCCUCUCUCUCCUCUCUCUCUCAGUAAAUCAAAACCAAGUACUACAUAUACCCUGUGAGGACUUUGAUUCUGUGUGUAAUAUAUGUGUGUGUAUGUAUAUAUAUAUAUUUUUAUAAAUUCACUUCACCCAUUUCUUGUGACGGCCGACAACUCUGAACAUCGUACCCAACGGGUCUAACCCCACAAAAUUACCACCUCUGUUGUGUAGUGUAAACUCAUAACAGACUCUGCUUCUUGCUCUUUCUUUGAUUGAUUGCUCACUUAUAUACAAACAAAACACCUGGUUUUGCAGCAAAGAAACGGAAGAGAGAACUACAACUGAGAGAGGAAAGAUCAAUCACAAAUGUGAAAAUAUAUAUAGAGAGAGAGAUUUAGAGAGAGUAGUGAAAGAUUCUGCAAAAAAAAUUGGAUUUUUUUGAUAUGGUGGGAUGCGUUCACAUUACAAUUGCAAGAUGAAGAGACAGUGAAGGGUUUAAAUCUCUUUAAUCAUCAGAACAAGUGAUGGGUUCGAUUUGCUAUUAUUUGAUUAUCUUCAAUCAGAUUAUUGGGUAUCUCUGUUUCUUGAUUCUGGUUUCAAAUGCCAGAAAAUUAGCUUCACACAGCGAUGUGGCGGCUCUGAUGGCUUUCAAGAAAUCCUCCAUUGAUGAAGACCCUAAUGGGUUUUUGAAUGAUUGGAGUCCCAAUUCUUCGAGCCCCUGUUCGUGGAGAGGUGUUUCUUGCUCCGUCGACGGCAGAGUCACCGCCCUCAAUCUCACCGGCGCCGCCAUCACCGGCCGUUUACAGCUCUCUGACCUCAUGGCCUUGUCCGGUCUGACCCACCUCCAUUUCAGUGGCAAUUCCUUCUCAGGAGACCUAUCUUCUUCUACUUCCAAGUAUUGCCCAUUUGAGACCCUUGAUUUGUCUUCCAACAACUUCUCUGAUUCUCUCUCUGCAGAGUCCCUAUUUCUCUCCUGUGAUCGUCUCAUCUCUCUCAACCUCUCUCGCAAUUCGAUCCCCGGUGGGAAUCUAAAAUUUGGGUCCUCUCUGUUGCAGCUUGAUCUCUCUCGAAAUCGGAUUUCGGAUUGGUCUCUUUUGGAAAAUUCUCUCUCUAACUGCCAGAGCUUGACUCUGCUGAAUUUCUCCGAUAAUAAGCUGGCCGGAGAACUGGGUAGUACUGUCUUGUCUUGCCGGAGUCUAUGGACUCUUGACCUCUCUUGCAAUCGCAUCUCCGGUGAGAAUCCGGUGGCGGCUUUUGUGGCCAACUAUCCGACUUCUCUCAACUUUCUCGAUCUCUCACACAAUAACUUUACUGGGAACUUCUCUAGUAUGCAGUUUGGGAGCUGCCAAAACCUCACAGCACUCAAUCUCUCGCAUAACGGCCUAUCUGGUGUAGGGUUUCCGGCGAGCCUGACUAAUUGCCAGCUGCUUGAGAGUCUUGACAUUGGCCACAAUGUGGUUAGUCUGAAGAUUCCAGGGGUGUUGUUAGGGAAGCUCAAGAGCUUGAGGUAUUUGUAUUUAGACCACAAUAAGUUUUUUGGGGACAUUCCACCAGAGCUAGGACAAACUUGUGGUACUCUUGAAGUGCUUGAUCUUUCCGGAAACCGGCUUAGCGGGGGGCUUCCUUCGACGUUUGCAUCGUGCUCUUUGCUGAACAGCCUCAACCUCGGUGGCAAUCAGCUGUCGGGCGAUUUUCUGAGCACCAUUGUCAGCUCUCUUCCAAGUCUGAGGUAUCUCUAUGUGCCUUUCAAUAACAUAACUGGUCCUGUGCCAUUGUCAUUGACAAACAACACCGAGCUUCGAGUGUUGGACCUCAGUUCUAAUGCCUUUACAGGGAAUGUACCUUAUGGUUUCUGCUCCUCGAGGACAUCAUCCUCAGCUUUGGAAAAGCUAUUAUUGUCGAACAAUUAUCUCAAGGGUACAUUGCCUUCAGAGCUUGGAAACUGCAGGAACCUUAGAACAAUUGAUCUUAGUUUCAACAAUCUUGUUGGUUCGAUUCCCUCGGAAAUUUGGACCUUGCCAAAUCUUUCAGAUUUGAUAAUGUGGGCUAAUAACCUCACGGGGGGAAUCCCGGAAGGCAUUUGUGUCAAAGGAGGAAAUCUGCAGACCCUGAUUCUCAAUAACAAUCUUAUUAAUGGAACUAUUCCACUGUCCAUCACCAAUUGUACUAAUAUGAUUUGGGUAUCGCUCUCCAGCAACCGUCUCACUGGAGAAAUCCCUUCAGGUAUUGGGAAUCUCCUUAACCUGGCUGUCCUCCAAUUGGGUAACAACUCACUUACUGGAGCUAUCCCUCUGGAGCUUGGUAAGUGCCGGAGCCUUAUUUGGCUCGACUUGAAUAGCAACAACCUGACUGGUGCAAUACCACCAGAGCUUGCCAAUGAAACUGGCCUAGUUGUUCCUGGACUUGUUUCUGGGAAGCAGUUUGCAUUUGUGAGAAAUGAGGGUGGAACAGCUUGCAGAGGUGCUGGAGGACUAGUUGAAUUUGAGGGAAUUCGAUCAGAAAGGCUAGAAAACUUUCCUAUGAUUCAUUCUUGCCCUUCAACUCGAAUAUACUCUGGUGUGACGGUUUAUACAUUCACAAGCAACGGCACCAUGAUUUACCUUGACCUCUCCUACAAUUCCUUGUCAGGAACUAUUCCUGAAAACUUUGGUUCAAUGAGCUUUUUGAAUGUCUUGAAUUUGGGACACAACAAUUUAACUGGAAACAUUCCAUACAGCUUUGGAGGCUUGAAGAAUGUUGGAGUUUUGGAUCUCUCUCACAAUAAUCUUCAGGGAAUCAUCCCUGGAUCAUUAGUGGGUCUCUCAUUUCUCAGUGACCUUGAUGUAUCAAACAACAACUUAACAGGACCUAUCCCUUCAGGCGGUCAGCUGACUACUUUCCCGGCUUCUAGAUAUGAGAACAAUACAGGCCUUUGUGGGGUUCCAUUGCCUCCUUGUGGCUCUGGAAAGGGACAUCCACCGGGCUUUUACCAGAGGAAGAAGAAGUCUUUGGCAUCAGAGAUGGUCAUUGGAAUUGCUGUCUCUCUUUUCUGUAUCUUCGUGCUAACAUUGGCUCUUUACAGGAUUAUACUGAACCAGGAAAAAGAGGAAAAGAGAGACAAAUACAUUGAAAGCCUUCCAACUUCUGGUAGCAGCAGCUGGAAACUCUCUGGUGUUCCUGAGCCUCUGAGCAUUAAUGUCGCUACAUUUGAGAAACCUCUACGGAAGCUGACCUUUUCCCAUCUACUUGAAGCUACCAAUGGUUUUAGUGCUGACAGCUUGAUUGGGUCUGGAGGGUUUGGUGAGGUAUACAAGGCGCAAUUGAAAGAUGGUUGUGUUGUUGCGAUCAAGAAGCUUAUUCAUGUCACUGGACAAGGAGACAGAGAAUUUGUAGCAGAAAUAGAAACCAUUGGGAAGAUCAAACACAGAAACCUAGUUCCGUUGUUGGGAUACUGCAAGAUUGGAGAGGAGAGACUUCUCGUGUAUGAGUACAUGAAGUGGGGAAGUCUGGAAGAUGUUCUUCAUGACAGGGCCAAAGGACGGGACUCAGAGCUUGACUGGGCAGCAAGAAAGAAGAUUGCCAUUGGGUCAGCGAGAGGACUAGCAUUCCUUCAUCAUAGCUGCUUACCUCACAUUAUUCAUCGGGACUUCAAGUCCAGCAAUGUUCUUAUAGAUGAGAAUUUCGAAGCCAGAGUCUCUGAUUUUGGCAUGGCAAGAUUGGUGAAUGCCCUUGACACUCAUCUUAGUGUGAGCACCCUCGCUGGGACCCCGGGAUAUGUUCCACCAGAGUAUUACCAAAGUUUUAGGUGCACAACUAAAGGGGAUGUUUACAGCUAUGGCGUUGUAUUACUGGAGCUUCUCUCAGGAAAAAGGCCAAUAGAUCCUUUGGUGUUUGGCGACGACAACAAUCUUGUUGGGUGGGCAAAACAGCUUCUAAAAGAAAAGAGAAGCCUUGAAAUACUGGAUUCUGAAUUAUUAACACAUCAUUCCACUGAGGCUGAACUAUAUCAAUGUCUAAACAUUGCCUUUCAAUGCCUAGAUGACAAGCCUUUCCGGAGACCAACAAUGAUUCAGGUGAUGGCCAUGUUUAAAGAGCUUCACGUAGAUUCAGAAAGUGAUAGCCUUGAUGGCUUCUCGGCAAAAGAUAUAGUAAUAGAGGAAUCACAAGAAAAAGAAUCAAGUUGAUAUACAUCUGAGCCUAAUUGGACAUGGAAGAUUCUGAUCUUGUCAGCUUGCACGUGACCAGGCCAUGAUUGCACGGAUGUGCCUACAGUGAGAAGAACUUCUUAUAUUGCAGUAGGGUUUGGUCUUCAAAUUUUUCUUACUGUAAAUAAUAGAGCACUGAAGGAGACAGAAGUUAUGGGAAAGAGUGAGGAAAACAAGCAAAUGGGGUGUUCUCAAUUGCUUUUGUUGGGGUGAACUCGGAAAAUGAUGAGUAACUAUUCCUAUACUAUCUACCAGGUUAGCCAAAGACAUGCUGCCCAAUUUGACUCUCUAUUGCACAAAACAAAAUUUAGAUUCUGAUUGCUUAUCAACCAAAAAAGGGCAAAAUUCUCUUGAUGUUGUUUAAUCCCAGUUUGUGAGUGUGGUUCUAUUCCUCUUUUGUUUGUUGGGAUGUCUAUCAUCUCAAGAUGUGAGAGGCUUCUUUUGGCGUGUUUGUUAGCCAAUCCUCUCGGGCUGUGAAAGGAAGUAGGUCUGUGCGUGCAUCCUUCGCCUUUUAAGUGAGAUAUUUGGUUGAUAUUUUUGAGCUCUGUCGUACAUCCUUUUUUUUUCUUCAGUUUGUAAAACUUAAAUCUACCAUGGAUAUGUUACAUUGUACAGAAUGGUUAUAAAUUUCAUGACUCCUUCCACGCACUUCAAUUUGUCUGCCCGCCCCAUCUUCAUUAUAAAAAUGCACAUGAUUUGAGAAAGUGCAAAUGUUACCCCCUUCUUUGGUUUCUUCUUUCAAACCUGCUAAAUUAUGUAGUAAUUUGUUAAACAUGACUGCAUGUUGAUCCUAAAAUUAAGAGAUCCCUCU
Cornus florida is the source of this 5137-nucleotide RNA transcript. It is a transcript of the gene named receptor-like protein kinase BRI1-like 3, with no coding region annotated. The transcript has 3 exons. NCBI's taxonomy places the organism in Eukaryota, Viridiplantae, Streptophyta, Magnoliopsida, Cornales, Cornaceae. The record is from RefSeq and is a predicted model, not a curated record.